UCCCUGGUGGUCCAGUGGUUAGGACUCAGUGCUUACACUGCCGUGGCCCAGGUUCAAUUCCUGGUUGGGGAA
This 72-nucleotide transfer RNA is filed under the name Balaenoptera acutorostrata scammoni. RNAcentral describes it as "tRNA-Val (TAC) (tRNA-Val-TAC-10-1)". It matches the Rfam family "tRNA". From Rfam's summary of the family: Transfer RNA (tRNA) molecules are approximately 80 nucleotides in length. Their secondary structure includes four short double-helical elements and three loops (D, anti-codon, and T loops). Further hydrogen bonds mediate the characteristic L-shaped molecular structure. tRNAs have two regions of fundamental functional importance: the anti-codon, which is responsible for specific mRNA codon recognition, and the 3' end, to which the tRNAs corresponding amino acid is attached (by aminoacyl-tRNA synthetases). tRNAs cope with the degeneracy of the genetic code in two manners: having more than one tRNA (with a specific anti-codon) for a particular amino acid; and 'wobble' base-pairing, i.e. permitting non-standard base-pairing at the 3rd anti-codon position. The record is from RNAcentral. Lineage: Eukaryota; Metazoa; Chordata; Mammalia; Artiodactyla; Balaenopteridae.